CCUACGGGAGGCAGCAGUGGGGAAUUUUGGACAAUGGGCGCAAGCCUGAUCCAGCAAUGCCGCGUGAGUGAAGAAGGCCUUCGGGUUGUAAAGCUCUUUUGUCAGGGAAGAAACGGUGGGAGCUAAUAUCUCCCGCUAAUGACGGUACCUGAAGAAUAAGCACCGGCUAACUACGUGCCAGCAGCCGCGGUAAUACGUAGGGUGCAAGCGUUAAUCGGAAUUACUGGGCGUAAAGCGUGCGCAGGCGGUUUUGUAAGUCUGUCGUGAAAGCCCCGGGCUCAACCUGGGAAUUGCGAUGGAGACUGCAAGGCUUGAAUCUGGCAGAGGGGGGUAGAAUUCCACGUGUAGCAGUGAAAUGCGUAGAGAUGUGGAGGAACACCGAUGGCGAAGGCAGCCCCCUGGGUCAAGAUUGACGCUCAUGCACGAAAGCGUGGGGAGCAAACAGGAUUAGAUACCCUGGUAGUCCACGCCCUAAACGAUGUCUACUAGUUGUCGGGUUUUAAUUAACUUGGUAACGCAGCUAACGCGUGAAGUAGACCGCCUGGGGAGUACGGUCGCAAGNUUAAAACUCAAAUGAGUAGAGNGNGAGAGAGCGAGACGACGACGAGGGAGGAGG
Molecule: ribosomal RNA, 616 nt
Filed under: uncultured bacterium
Lineage: Bacteria
Description: bacterial SSU rRNA
Rfam family: Bacterial small subunit ribosomal RNA
Source: RNAcentral